This is a non-coding RNA of Oryctolagus cuniculus (rabbit), 4525 nucleotides long. NCBI's taxonomy places the organism in Eukaryota, Metazoa, Chordata, Mammalia, Lagomorpha, Leporidae. The record is from RefSeq and is a predicted model, not a curated record.
CCAGUGACAGCGGAGGUCCGACAGUUACCUCCCAGAGAGAGAGUGGACCUUACCCAGCGGAGGUCCGACAGUUACCUCCCAGAGAGAGAGUGGACCUUACCCAGCGGAGGUCCGACAGUUACCUCCCAGAGAGAGAGGGGACCUUACCCAGCGGAGGUCCGACAGUUACCUCCCAGAGAGAGAGGGGACCUUACCCAGCGGAGGUCCGACAGUUAGCUCCCAGAGAGAGAGGGGACCUUACCCAGCGGAGGUCCGACAGUUACCUCCCAGAGAGAGAGGGGACCUUACCCAGCGGAGGUCCGACAGUUACCUCCCAGAGAGAGAGGGGACCUUACCCAGCGGAGGUCCGACAGUUAGCUCCCAGAGAGAGAGGGGACCUUACCCAGCGGAGGUCAGACAGUUACCUCCCAGAGAGAGAGGGGACCUUACCCAGCGGAGGUCAGACAGUUACCUCCCAGAGAGAGAGGGGACCUUACCCAGCGGAGGUCCGACAGUUACCUCCCAGAGAGAGAGGGGACCUUACCCUGGCUUGGCUACGCUCCCUCACUUCCUCAAUCUAGUUCGCUAUUUGACAGCGGUGCCUGUCCCCUUCAUAUUAAGGACAGUGAUACACCACGCCCGCCGUGCAAGCUGAAUUCGGUUAACAACCGUGGAACACAAGGAUCCCUGAAUUAUUUGUUGUGAAGAACCCGCACUUCCACUUCUGCUUUCAAACAAGCCCUGGAGCCUUGUGCUGUUCCUUCUGUUGUGAGGUUUGCACUUCCAGGAAUUUCGUCUUCUCCGUUGUUUCCAGGAGUCGCAGUUCUGACUUAGCUUUCUGUUACUCGGCCUUGCUUCCUGGGCAGCGUUCUAGUCACUGGCUUUCCACCAUAAGCCUCUGGUUUUGGACUUCUGGGAAGUAUAAGGUACGUGGUUGUCCGUUGGCGCAGGAUAAGGGUGGAGCUUGCUCUGGGAGGUGGAGCUUAUGGCAGUGGGAGGUCGACUUCUAUGUCAGAUGGAGUGCAGGGGAUAUUUAUGGACCCUUGGCCAUGACCUUCUGAGGGUCAGGGUGAAGCCUAAGCACUGACCCAUCAUCCUUACCUCCCUCUCCCUUUUCAGGCUCUCAGAAGGGAGUAGAAUGGGGACCCUCAGGAACUCCAGCUGCAGUUAUCGGAUUCCAAACUGUAUUAAUAGCUUUGCCCCACCUGUGCUCCUAAACAUCAAACGUGGGGACUUCAAGUGCUACUGCGGUGCCCCAGUUUAUCAUCCCACAUCUCCUUGUCCCUCCAGUCACACCUAGAUCUCCUGUGGAUGGCAAGUUGUAACAUUUUCACCAUGGCCCAUGUCCACUGGACUUGAACACACACUGUUGCCUUGCUUCCUCCCCUAACGUUAGAGAUUGAACCUGUAUCCUGGCUCUGGGCUAAGGCAAUCAUCUUGCAUGCAUUGAUCUAGUCAAGGAACAGCUGCUGACGCUUUUUGUGGCCUUGGCAUUAAGUGAGGUGCUGGAGACGAAACGGGGGGGGAAGCACAGACAGUGCAUGGACGAAAAGCCCAAAUCCGAUGGCCGGUGCCCUGAAUCCAGGAAAGAGGUCACAUGGAGCUGCAACGCAAUGCGUAACCAGGCAGUUCACUCUUCAUCGGUUCAUUAGGCUUUACAAUUCAAAGGUUCGUUACUUCCUAGGUGGAUUUUUGCCCCACUGUCAUCUCUGUUUUAUUACGCCAAUCUGGUCCAUGUAAAGGAAUAGUUGAUGACACACUUCAGUAGAACACAUUAUCUCUGGUUUCCCUAAUAUGCCUGGUUUUCUCUGCAGAUGCAUUCUGCUUCCUUCCCCACCUUGCUCUCAGCCCUGGAUGGUGAUCCGCACGAGGUGUACCACCGCGUGUUCUCAGCCAGUGGGAGGGCUCACUUGGCAUCAGAAGGAGCAAGAAGAGCAAAUCCAGGUGAUCAUUCUCUCAGCUCCCUUCCUGCGGGUUCACCUUGUAUUCUGCCCAUUUCUCCGUGCUUGUCUAUUUCGGUGGCUAUAGGAAAUUCAACAGAGACUUGACGGUUUUCUUUUUCUUUUUUUUAAGAUUUAUUUUAUUUAUUUGAAAGACAGAGUUACAGAGAGAGGUAGAGACAGAGAGAGAUCUUCCAUUCGAUGGUUCACUCCCCAGAUGGCUGUAAUGGCCAGAGCUGCACCAAUCCAAAGCCAGGAGCCAGGAACUUCCUCUGGGUCUCCCACGUGGGUGCAGGGGCUCAAGGCCUUGGGCCAUCUUCUACUGCUCUCCCAGGCCAUAGCAGAGAGCUGGAUCAGAAGAGGAGCAGUGCCCAUAUGGGAUGCCGGCGCUGCAGGCCAGGGCUUUAACCUGCUGUACCACAGCAUCGGCUCUGAUGGUGUUCUUUUUCAAAGUCAGAAAAGAAUCUAGGGAGAUUGCAGAGAUAGUAAUGGAAAAUAAGACAGUUUUGGAAAGCAAAACUAUCUUCAUGAACCUUGUGAAGACAAAAUUUCCUAAGUAGGACUCAAAAAGAAUAAUUCAUGAAGAUUGAGGAGCAGGACUAUGUUAAAAUUUAAUAAUGGUCAUAACUAAGAAAAGUUAAGCCAUAAUGUGAUCGAAGAUAUUUGUAAUAUGUGGACCAGAGGUCUAGGAUCCAUAAAAUACAAACAGUCAAUAAUUACAACAAAACAGACAAUUCCUUAGAAAAAAGGCAAGAGAGAUGGCACUUCAUGGAGAAGCAUAUUUUCGUAGUCAAUACAAAUAAACUUUAAGAGUUUUGCUUUACUAAUAAAAGACAUUCAAAUUAAUAUCACAGUAGAACACUAAGAUGCCCAAGGUGUGGGGAGCAACUGGGAGCAACCCGGACUAUACUAAGUUACUGGAAUUAAGACUUAUUCUAUGCAUCUGCUCUCCCACAAUAUGGCACUGAGAAGGAAGUAACAACUUCUACACAGCUGCCUCCAGUUCAACCAAUGAACAGCAGGACCUGCUCCUGAUUGGAGGAGAGCAGCGUACUCGGCGUGUGGGUAGCAGAGUUGGGAUUGGUGGAAGAGGACUAUAAAGGAGGAGAGAGACAACAUGCACCAGGAACAUCUAUCUGAAGGAACACCUGUGCAGCCCCCGAGAGAGCCGGCCGGCGGUGUGCCGCUCCCCCGCGGAAGUGGGGAAAGUGGCAGGGGGAACCGCCCUUCCACGGAGGUGGAAGGGACAGUAGCCAACCCGGGGAAGAACCAGCAGCAAACCCGGGGAGGGCCGAGCAGACAAAAGAACAGCGCAGGGUCCUGUGUCGCUCCUCCCUGAAGAGGGGGAGCGACAUAAUGGUGCCGUGACUCGGAUAGGAAGCCUAGGCAGGGUUUAGUGUCGUUCCUCCGCGAAGAGGGGGAGCGACACAAGGAAAAUAAACUGGCAGUACAAGUGUUUGCUAAGUUGUUGGAACAAUGACAAUCUGGCUACAAUUGUUAGGUCUGUAUUUGUACAAUAAACCCAGAUAACAAACAGACAGUUUUGGUCCUAUAAUUCUAAUACCUGAUAUUUUCAGACCAGAGAUGAUUGCAUGUGUGUACAAAGAGAAACAUACAAUAAUUUCCAUAAAAGCACUAUUCAUAUUAGCAAAAAUUACUUUGAAAUAACAAAAAUGUGCACCGACAGUGGAACAUACUGUGUUUAUUAAUAGAGCGCCACACAGUCCAUCUUUUCAGGACCUGCCAGGAUGCCCAGCACGGCUAGCACCUCACGCCGAGAACGCUCCGGCUGCUGUUUCAUCUUCUCUGUGCUGGGAACACAUCUUCAUAAGGCGAUUUCCCUCUACCGAGUAGCCACUCCUCUGUCCUGUCUCCCUCGUGUUUACCAUCAGAACCACAUCAAGCUCAUUCCUAUUCAGUGUCUGAUUGUUGUGGAUCGGUCCAUGUAGGGACCUUUGUUAUCUACAGUUCAGCAUGCAGGAUUUUUCAACCCCCACCCUUACCUUCUCACGGGUACUGAAGGCUGAACAAAGCUGUGAGCUUGCCUUGUAUCUCUCUUCUGUCUCCGUGUCACUAGCACAAUACUGAAUCUAUAGCAGAUGUUCUGUAAAAACAUGCUCGAGGAAAUAUCUCCUGAUGGGGAACUAGCCUUUGAUCCAUGAUAGCUAAUUGUAUUUAAACAUGACAUGACAAUAAGUCUUCUUCACUGUGGGAAAAGUAUAAUCACGUUCAUUUUUUUUUACUCCAGUAAUGUAUUCCUAAGUUCUGAUCAAGAUAUUUUGGAAAAAAGGUCUGUUGGAGUUAAAAGUAAUUUUGAAAUAUGGUUUCACAUUGCUCAUUACAGAAUACUUCUCACAGUAACAUUAUGUGGUUUUGAAAAUCUUCCUAAGUACUUCCGACUCCAGUGAGUUGUCAUGGAAAAAAUCCAGUAAGCAUAUUUCAAGCGAUAUAUUUUUCUUUUGCCCCUGCCAAACAUUCUAUAAAUAGAAACUGAGAAUAUUUCUGCCUAUUUCCUGUCCAUGCUUUCUACUAGCAAAAUUCUGUAGCAAGGCCAGAUUACACUACUUUUCUUGAGUGUUGGCGUUUGUAGGUGAGUCAGCACCAUU